RNAcentral lists this transfer RNA (72 nucleotides) under Dehalococcoidales bacterium. Its description in RNAcentral is "tRNA-Thr". It matches the Rfam family "tRNA". Rfam says of the family: Transfer RNA (tRNA) molecules are approximately 80 nucleotides in length. Their secondary structure includes four short double-helical elements and three loops (D, anti-codon, and T loops). Further hydrogen bonds mediate the characteristic L-shaped molecular structure. tRNAs have two regions of fundamental functional importance: the anti-codon, which is responsible for specific mRNA codon recognition, and the 3' end, to which the tRNAs corresponding amino acid is attached (by aminoacyl-tRNA synthetases). tRNAs cope with the degeneracy of the genetic code in two manners: having more than one tRNA (with a specific anti-codon) for a particular amino acid; and 'wobble' base-pairing, i.e. permitting non-standard base-pairing at the 3rd anti-codon position. Lineage: Bacteria; Bacillati; Chloroflexota; Dehalococcoidia; Dehalococcoidales. The record is from RNAcentral.
GCCCGAGUAGCUCAGUGGUAGAGCAGCGGUUUUGUAAACCGCAGGUCACGGGUUCGAAUCCCUUCUCGGGCU